AUACGUAGGGGGCGAGCGUUGUCCGGAAUGACUGGGCGUAAAGGGCGCGUAGGCGGCCGAUUAAGUCUGGAGUGAAAGUCCUGCUUUCAAGGUGGGAACUGCUUUGGAGACUGGUUGGCUUGAGUGCAGAAGAGGUAAGUGGAAUUCCCAGUGUAGCGGUGAAAUGCGUAGAGAUUGGGAGGAACACCAGUGGCGAAGGCGACUUACUGGGCUGUAACUGACGCUGAGGCGCGAAAGCGUGGGGAGCGAACAGGAUUAGAUACCCUGGUAGUCCACGCGGUAAACGAUGAAUGCUAGGUGUAGGGGGUAUCGACCCCUCCUGUGCCGGAGUAAACACAAUAAGCAUUCCGCCUGGGGAGUACGGCCGCAAGGUUGAAACUCAAAUGAAUUGACGGGG
Molecule: ribosomal RNA, 397 nt
Filed under: uncultured bacterium
Lineage: Bacteria
Description: partial 16S ribosomal RNA
Rfam family: Bacterial small subunit ribosomal RNA
Source: RNAcentral